RNAcentral lists this ribosomal RNA (253 nucleotides) under uncultured bacterium. RNAcentral describes it as "partial 16S ribosomal RNA". It matches the Rfam family "Bacterial small subunit ribosomal RNA", at positions 524 to 776 of the family's 1533-position model. The record is from RNAcentral.
UACGUAGGGGGCCAGCGUUGUCCGGAUUCAUUGGGCGUAAAGCGCGUGUAGGCGGCCGUACAGGUCCGGUGUGAAAACUCGAGGCUCAACCUCGAGAGGUCAUCGGAAACCGUACGGCUAGAGUCCGGAAGAGGAGAGUGGAAUUCCUGGUGUAGCGGUGAAAUGCGUAGAUAUCGGGAGGAACACCAGUGGCGAAAGCGGCUACCUGGCCCACUCUUGACGCUGAGGCGCGAAAGCUAGGGGAGCAAACGGG